UGUUUUUCGAAUAGUAAAAUAAACAUGUCAAGAGAAAAAAUAGUGAUCUUAUUUAUAGAAAGCUACUAAAGUAUGAAUAAAUACCUACGCAAGAGUAACAUAACAACAUAAAAUGUACUAAUUAAGGUUCAAUGGACUGGCACUGGUUUCACCAAGAACGAUGAGCGAGAAGCGAUUGGAGCUACAAAAUAAGAAAUGAGUUGGCGCGCGAGCAGCGAGAAGCGAGUAUAGUUCUGUUGCAUGGUCUCUCCGACCGCCAAGCGAACAUCGCUUCGCGAGUACCUACCGCUGAGCGAUUUUAUCGUUGACAGCUUGUAUCGCUGCGAGUAAAGAGUGUAAUAGUGCACUGCCUUAUGGGAAUUUAGUUCAGAUUUGGAAACCGCUACCAACUUUUAGUAUGUUGUUGGACAUGGCAUUGGGUCUCGAAAACUGCCGGGAAACAGCGGCGCCGACCAUCUACUUCAUUCAGCCUCGAUUAGCCUUUUAUAGAAGCAAAUUUUAACUACGAGCGUAGCGAGUAGUUCGAAAAGUGGAAUCUUGAGUGUUGCAAGGGCUUCAAGGCUGUGAAGGCUGGCAGUAUUUUCCCUCUGAUCCUCUGAAAUACAUACAGGUCAGCCCUCUGGUCAUUUGAAACCUCCAUAAGGCAUCUUGCUAACUCAUAGAGGCGACGCCCGCUAAGCCCCUAACAGUUACUCUAUGGCCUGAGGGUUUCAAUGUUAGAGAAAUUAUGUACUACCUACUGCUUUUUAUUUCUCUUAGAGUCUGUGCGGAGAGAGACGACUCAUAGAAUGUAUUGAUUCCCUUAUCUUCCACGACUCUUCUCUUUCCGCACAGAGUUUAUAGUUUAUAUUUGUAGUGCCAGGCAAUGAUAAUAAAGGUCUAAUUAAUUUUAAUCUUUUGCUCGACUACGGCAGAAUUUGCUGUCUAUGCGUGCAUGUACUGUUUACAUGAAACUACUGAACUUAUUUAAUAAAUGAGGUGUCAAUUCAUUCGUGUUUGUAGCCCAGGUGACAAAAGCCACAUUUUAACCAACUAUCAAAGGAGGAAGGUACAGUUCGUUUGCUUGUUUAACAAGCAAAUUCAAUUUAUAAAUUAAGAUUCCAGUCGAAAAUGUCGUUUUCAUGUAUUUUAUGUAAUGUCCUUUCAUUUAAUACUCGAUAAUUAGAACAAUUCUUUGCAUAAUAAGAGCGCAUUAAGAUAGAAUUGUACAAUUGUUGGCGCGCUUUAGUUUUUUUUCUACAACUUUCACAGUUUUUAUCGGAAAUUUAAAAUUUAAAUUGUAAUGUAUAGUUGAAUAACUGGUUUCUUUAAUAUUAUACGCAACAUUUUAUUAACGUUUUUAGUUUAGCCAGGGGUGCGAAACUCCUGACUUCGGCCAAACUCGGCUCCGCUCGGCUCAGCAUUGCUCCGAGCAAUUAUUAGGGUUGGCACCACUUGACUUCCUUUUGCAUGCACGACCACAGAUAAGAUAAUCACUUGAAUUUUGACAACCCUAAAUAGCAGAAAGAGAUAGUGCCAUAUAUUAGAAAGGGAUAGCAUGAUUCGACCCUGAACCGCUGUCAAACUUCGGUUUUGUAGGAAGUUUCCUUUCUGUACGAUAGUACUAUUAUUUGAGUCGCUUAAGUUCAAACUCGGGUAAAUCCAUCUGUCAGAUUAUGCGAUUUUGGUAUUAAGAAAAGGUAAUAGGGUAGAUAUUUGCUGAGAGGGUCGAAUGGAUUUACCCGAGUUUGAAGUUAAGCGACACAUUUAUUCUGUGGUUUAGCUAUAAAAUCGAUAUACACCUACUUUUUUCAUAAAAAAUGGUAUUCCUGUGUUUAUAGCUCUUAAACCAUUUUUUUUUCUGCAAACAAUGUUUAGGUGACUUAUAAUACAUUUCAUUUCAUAAUUUCCACAUAUUUGGUCAAAUUUGGAUUUUUUUGAUAUCAUUGUAUGCCUUGAGAUGUCAUCUUUAAUGUUGUGGUACAUUUCUUUAACGUCCGACUUUUGGUUUGGUUAUAAAAUCCAAAUAAUCGAAUAUUUUUUUACCUCAUUUUGUUUAUUUUGUAAAUAGCUCUUAAACUGUUGUAUAUUUUGGUACACACUGUAUAAAUGAAGUAUAGAAUAUUUCAUUAGCUUUCAUUUAAUACCCCACACGUGUAUGUGCCAUGCAUAGUUUGGGUGCAAUAUGCAAUAUUCGCAACGAGACGGGAGUCAUUUUGAUGAUAUCAUUCCGCUGAAGGCCUGAAGUAGAUGGCCGGCGCCGCUGUCUCCCGGCAGUUUUGGAGACCCAAUACCAUGCGCAACAACAUACUAAAAGUUGGUAGCGGUUUCCGGAUCUGAGCUAUCUCUUCGACUGUUUCCCAUAAGGCAUAGUACUUUAAAGAGAGUCCUCGUGCAAUGUGAACAGCCAGCGAUCCACUAUUAAUAUACCUAUCUAUCUCUUUUACCGACACGGAAUCUCUAUCUUAUCGCUUACGGGUCAUUUUAUUUAAAGUUGUCCCCUACACUUUUUUUUUAAUAUGGGAAAUUUUAUGUUAUUUCUACUCAGAAUCACGAGCUCUUUCUAUCCUAAUAGAAGAAAAAAAGUGUGCCAAGGUUUUUAUUUCCAUUCCGGUACCAUUUUUCAUAGACUUUGUAUGGCAGUCACGGAAUGUAAAGAUCGAAAAUUUUAUGGGAAUUUCGGGACACUUUUUUUCUCCUAUUACGAUCAAAAAAAGCUCAUGAUUCUGAGUAGAAAUAACAUAAAAAAUCCCAAAUAUGAAAAUGAAAGUGUAUGGGACAACUUUAAAUAAAAUGGCCCUUACACGUCCUUGAACUAGUGCAUAUCCAUCCAUACUAAUAUUAUAAAGGCGAAAGUGUGGCUGUCUGUCUGUCUGUUACCUCUUCACGCUUAAGCCGCUGAACCGAUUUAUUUGAAAUUUGGUAUAGAGAUUGUUUGAGUCCCGAGGAAGGACAUAGGAUAGUUUUUAUUCCAGAAAUCAUCCCUUAAAGGGGUGGUGUUUUGUAUGGGGACUUAACACCAACUGCACAUCAAACUUUGUCAAUAGGAACUGUCCCGCCCGCGCGGUGUAGUACCGGCGCUGGUGCACGAUUUAGUUGGGUAUAGAAUAGGGUUUACUAACGAAUGGGCCAAAAACGUUUCCCAAAGUAUCACAUCCCAAACUAUGUUUCCCAAAUUAUCAUUUCCCAAAAAAAUGUUUGGCAAAACAACUUAUCGCAAUUUUUCAGUUAGCAAUAGUCUUUUUUGGCAAGUUAUUGUUUAGCAAAUAAUUACUUGGACAAGUUUCAUUUUACCAAGUAUUAUUUAGUCAAAUAAGCAUAACAUUGCAUGGCAUACAGUUUACAUACCAAUAGAUAUUUUUAUUUUUGUUUUAUUUGAAAUACUUAAUCCCGACCUUGGUAUUUUUAUCAUUUUGGUUAUGUUUUACGCAUAGGGGGAAGCGGGGCAGAUAGGCACAAGGGGCAGUUUUGAACACCCACACUAAUUCCUUAACUAAAAACUUAUGUUCACCUUCUGCAACACUAAAACGUGGCUUUGUAUGUGUGAUUGAGGUACCAGCUUCGGCACAUCUCUCCUGCCAGCCGUUGCCGCUUAGUGCGUGAAAACGUGUAGUCCGGUGGCCGGCUGCAUGAAACAAACCUCAUCAAAAAAUAGAAUAUACCUACCCUGUAGAGGUACCUGACAUUUAGUAGCUUCCAACGCACUUGGUCGGCCUAGGCUUAACCUGGCAGAUUUUGUACAAAUGGCAAAAACGUUGGACAAAAAUUCAUCAAAAAAAACCUCAUCGAAAAAUAGAAUGAAACUUGUAUGGUAGUAUACCUGACCUUGAGGACAGUAAAAAAAAAGUGGUCGGCCUCACCUUAGCCUGGCAGUUUUUGCAGUCCGACCAGAUUUAUUGGGUCACGUGAGAGCUACAAUUUACCUCAUCGAAAAAUAGAAUGAAACAAACGGAUUAUAAUAGCUAAAAUAAGCCUGUUGACGUAUGUCUUGGUCGGCCUCACCUUAACCUGGCAGUUUUUGCAGUCCGACCAAAUUUAUAAAAAAAUAAUCAAAAAUUUUUUAUCGAAAAAUCGU
Cydia splendana is the source of this 4054-nucleotide long non-coding RNA. RefSeq lists it as uncharacterized. The record is from RefSeq and is a predicted model, not a curated record. The transcript is spliced from 3 exons. Lineage: Eukaryota; Metazoa; Arthropoda; Insecta; Lepidoptera; Tortricidae.